This 1232-nucleotide ribosomal RNA is filed under the name Neisseria meningitidis. RNAcentral describes it as "bacterial LSU rRNA". It matches the Rfam family "Bacterial large subunit ribosomal RNA", at positions 1639 to 2860 of the family's 2925-position model. Lineage: Bacteria; Pseudomonadati; Pseudomonadota; Betaproteobacteria; Neisseriales; Neisseriaceae. The record is from RNAcentral.
GAACCGUACCGCAAACCGACACAGGUGGGCAGGAUGAGAAUUCUAAGGCGCUUGAGAGAACUCAGGAGAAGGAACUCGGCAAAUUGAUACCGUAACUUCGGGAGAAGGUAUGCCCUCUAAGGUUAAGGACUUGCUCCGUAAGCCCCGGAGGGUCGCAGAGAAUAGGUGGCUGCGACUGUUUAUUAAAAACACAGCACUCUGCUAACACGAAAGUGGACGUAUAGGGUGUGACGCCUGCCCGGUGCUGGAAGGUUAAUUGAAGAUGUGAGAGCAUCGGAUCGAAGCCCCAGUAAACGGCGGCCGUAACUAUAACGGUCCUAAGGUAGCGAAAUUCCUUGUCGGGUAAGUUCCGACCCGCACGAAUGGCGUAACGAUGGCCACACUGUCUCCUCCUGAGACUCAGCGAAGUUGAAGUGGUUGUGAAGAUGCAAUCUACCCGCUGCUAGACGGAAAGACCCCGUGAACCUUUACUGUAGCUUUGCAUUGGACUUUGAAGUCACUUGUGUAGGAUAGGUGGGAGGCUUAGAAGCAGAGACGCCAGUCUCUGCGGAGCCGUCCUUGAAAUACCACCCUGGUGUCUUUGAGGUUCUAACCCAGACCCGUCAUCCGGGUCGGGGACCGUGCAUGGUAGGCAGUUUGACUGGGGCGGUCUCCUCCCAAAGCGUAACGGAGGAGUUCGAAGGUUACCUAGGUCCGGUCGGAAAUCGGACUGAUAGUGCAAUGGCAAAAGGUAGCUUAACUGCGAGACCGACAAGUCGAGCAGGUGCGAAAGCAGGACAUAGUGAUCCGGUGGUUCUGUAUGGAAGGGCCAUCGCUCAACGGAUAAAAGGUACUCCGGGGAUAACAGGCUGAUUCCGCCCAAGAGUUCAUAUCGACGGCGGAGUUUGGCACCUCGAUGUCGGCUCAUCACAUCCUGGGGCUGUAGUCGGUCCCAAGGGUAUGGCUGUUCGCCAUUUAAAGUGGUACGUGAGCUGGGUUUAAAACGUCGUGAGACAGUUUGGUCCCUAUCUGCAGUGGGCGUUGGAAGUUUGACGGGGGCUGCUCCUAGUACGAGAGGACCGGAGUGGACGAACCUCUGGUGUACCGGUUGUAACGCCAGUUGCAUAGCCGGGUAGCUAAGUUCGGAAGAGAUAAGCGCUGAAAGCAUCUAAGCGCGAAACUCGCCUGAAGAUGAGACUUCCCUUGCGGUUUAACCGCACUAAAGAGUCGUUCGAGACCAGGACGUUGAUAGG